UUUUUUUUUUUUUUUGGGGGGGGGGGGGGGGGGGUCCAUCCAUUUGUCGACGACUCUAUCAUUUUGCUAGAGUAUUCAGAUUCAAAGCAGUGUAUGGCAUAUUAGACAUCAUGUAUUUUACUUCCGUCUAUAUUAUGUUUUUUGUUGUUGUUGAUUGAAUUUAUACAUGACAAAAAACCUAUUAAAACCACCUGAACAUUUGGCAUCAUUGAAAUAAAAUGAUGAAAUGAAAAACAUACAGAUGAUUUUAAUUAUUUUGUUCCUCAUAUGAUAUGAAUAAUGAUCUUACUUGCCUAAAGGGUUACACACAUUAAAAUCUUCUCCGUUAACUAUUAACAACUGAAUUCUCCCAUUCGCAUAGCCUUAAUACAGGAACCACCCGGUUCCUCUAAACAUUGGGUUAAAACUGACCGGUUUAUUUGCAAGCUGCCUGUAAUGUCAUAUACAUUUAUACCGGUAUCUGUAUUUCAGUAUAGUUGUGUAUGUACUGUUGAAAGAUAAUUUGCUCCUUGUGUAUCAAAUAGUUGGAACAUAUGUUAAUAUCAACUGUUCUCGCCCCUGAAUCUGCCUGAUUUAAUACCCUUUCUAUCCCAUGAUUUGGGGAUGUAUUCCACUGGAGAUCUCACAGUCUACCCCCUUUAAAGGGCCACUCCAACCAAAACGGGCUAAGAAAUUAAAAAAAAAAGACAUGUAGAAUAAUUUUUGACGGAGAUUCCGAACAUGACAUUGAUUUUUCUUAGAAAUCAUCAAUAAUUCUGGAAUCUAGCUUUAAAAAUGAUGACUCAGAACGCGCAGGAAAAAAAACAACCCAGUUUCGGAGAUGAUGCAUUUGACGUCACUGCAGGCGCCUCUCCAGUGUAAAGGAGGGUGAUUUAGCCAUUAAAAUGUCUUUAAAAGGGCAAACUAUGAUAUCAAUUGGAAG
Molecule: long non-coding RNA, 922 nt
Organism: Strongylocentrotus purpuratus (purple sea urchin)
Lineage: Eukaryota; Metazoa; Echinodermata; Echinoidea; Camarodonta; Strongylocentrotidae
Exons: 2
Source: RefSeq, a predicted model, not a curated record